Molecule: ribosomal RNA, 468 nt
Filed under: uncultured bacterium
Lineage: Bacteria
Description: partial 16S ribosomal RNA
Rfam family: Bacterial small subunit ribosomal RNA
Source: RNAcentral
GACGAACGCUGGCGGCGUGCUUAACACAUGCAAGUCGAACGGAAAGGCCCUGCUUUUGUGGGGUGCUCGAGUGGCGAAAGGGUGAGUAACACGUGAGUAACCUGCCCUGGACUUUGGGAUAACUUCAGGAAACUGGGGCUAAUACCGGAUAGGAGCUCCUGCUGCAUGGUGGGGGUUGGAAAGUUUCGGCGGUUGGGGAUGGACUCGCGGCUUAUCAGCUUGUUGGUGGGGUAGUGGCUUACCAAGGCUUUGACGGGUAGCCGGCCUGAGAGGGUGACCGGCCACAUUGGGACUGAGAUACGGCCCAGACUCCUACGGGAGGCAGCAGUGGGGAAUAUCGCACAAUGGGCGGAAGCCUGAUGCAGCAACGCCGCGUGCGGGAUGACGGCCUUCGGGUUGUAAACCGCUUUCGCCUGUGACGAAGCGUGAGUGACGGUAAUGGGUAAAGAAGCACCGGCUAACUACGUG